UGUGUAGGCGGUUGUUUAAGUUUGGUGUGAAAUCUCCCGGCUCAACCGGGAGGGUGCGCCGAAUACUGAGCGACUAGAGUGCGGGAGAGGAGAGUGGAAUUCCUGGUGUAGCGGUGAAAUGCGUAGAUAUCAGGAGGAACACCGGUGGUGCAGACGGCUCUCUGGACCGCGACUGACGCUGAGACACGAAAGCGUGGGUAGCAAACAGGAUUAGAUACCCUGGUAGUCCACGCCCUAAACGAUGCAUAUUUGGUGUGGGUCAUUCAGUUGAUCCGUGCCAGAGCUAACGCGUUAAAUAUGCCGCCUGGGGAGUACAGUCGCAAGGCUGAA
This 330-nucleotide ribosomal RNA is filed under the name uncultured bacterium. RNAcentral describes it as "bacterial SSU rRNA". It matches the Rfam family "Bacterial small subunit ribosomal RNA", at positions 568 to 898 of the family's 1533-position model. The record is from RNAcentral.